GAUGAACGCUGGCGGCGUGCCUAAUACAUGCAAGUCGAGCGAACAGACGAGGAGCUUGCUCCUCUGACGUUAGCGGCGGACGGGUGAGUAACACGUGGAUAACCUACCUAUAAGACUGGGAUAACUUCGGGAAACCGGAGCUAAUACCGGAUAACAUGUUGAACCGCAUGGUUCAACAGUGAAAGACGGUCUUGCUGUCACUUAUAGAUGGAUCCGCGCCGCAUUAGCUAGUUGGUAAGGUAACGGCUUACCAAGGCAACGAUGCGUAGCCGACCUGAGAGGGUGAUCGGCCACACUGGAACUGAGACACGGUCCAGACUCCUACGGGAGGCAGCAGUAGGGGAUCUUCCGCAAUGGGCGAAAGCCUGACGGAGCAACGCCGCGUGAGUGAUGAAGGUCUUCGGAUCGUAAAACUCUGUUAUUAGGGAAGAACAAAUGUGUAAGUAACUAUGCACGUCUUGACGGUACCUAAUCAGAAAGCCACGGCUAACUACGUG
Molecule: ribosomal RNA, 497 nt
Filed under: uncultured bacterium
Lineage: Bacteria
Description: partial 16S ribosomal RNA
Rfam family: Bacterial small subunit ribosomal RNA
Source: RNAcentral